RNAcentral lists this ribosomal RNA (375 nucleotides) under uncultured bacterium. Its description in RNAcentral is "bacterial SSU rRNA". It matches the Rfam family "Bacterial small subunit ribosomal RNA", at positions 523 to 898 of the family's 1533-position model. The record is from RNAcentral.
AUACGAAGGGGGCUAGCGUUGCUCGGAAUUACUGGGCGUAAAGGGAGCGUAGGCGGAUAGUUUAGUCAGAGGUGAAAGCCCAGGGCUCAACCUUGGAAUUGCCUUUGAUACUGGCUAUCUUGAGUAUGGAAGAGGUAUGUGGAACCCCGAGUGUAGAGGUGAAAUUCGUAGAUAUUCGGAAGAACACCAGUGGCGAAGGCGACAUACUGGUCCAUUACUGACGCUGAGGCUCGAAAGCGUGGGGAGCAAACAGGAUUAGAUACCCUGGUAGUCCACGCCGUAAACGAUGAGUGCUAGUUGUCGGCAUGCAUGCAUGUCGGUGACGCAGCUAACGCAUUAAGCACUCCGCCUGGGGAGUACGGUCGCAAGAUUAAA